GGCUCAGGACGAACGCUGGCGGCGUGCCUAACACAUGCAAGUCGAGCGGAGUCAGUAAGAGGAAGUUUCGGAUGGAAUCUGUUGAUUAGCGGCGGACGGGUGAGUAACGCGUGAGCGACCAACCUUGCACAGGGGGAUAACGGACCGAAAGGUUCACUAAUACCGCAUGAGACCACGGUGUUGCAUGACACAGAGGUCAAAGGAGCAAUCCGGUGCAAGACGGGCUCGCGUCCGAUUAGGUAGUUGGAGGGGUAACGGCCCACCAAGCCUAUGAUCGGUAGCCGACCUGAGAGGGUGAUCGGCCACAUUGGAACUGAGAUACGGUCCAAACUCCUACGGGAGGCAGCAGUGGGGAAUAUUGGGCAGUGGGGGGAAACCCUGACCCAGCAACGCCGCGUGAAGGAAGAAGGUUUUCGGAUUGUAAACUUCUGUCCUUGGUGAAGAGAAGAAGACGGUAGCCAAGGAGGAAGCCCCGGCUAACUACGUGCCAGCCGCUGC
This 498-nucleotide ribosomal RNA is filed under the name uncultured bacterium. Its description in RNAcentral is "bacterial SSU rRNA". It matches the Rfam family "Bacterial small subunit ribosomal RNA", at positions 21 to 518 of the family's 1533-position model. The record is from RNAcentral.